Peromyscus californicus insignis is the source of this 3282-nucleotide long non-coding RNA. RefSeq lists it as uncharacterized. The transcript is spliced from 3 exons. The record is from RefSeq and is a predicted model, not a curated record. NCBI's taxonomy places the organism in Eukaryota, Metazoa, Chordata, Mammalia, Rodentia, Cricetidae.
AAAAUCGUUGAAGGAAUGAGUCGACAGUUUAGGGGACGCACAGCCUCCAUGGCAGGAAGAGCCAGGCAGGGCGGCGGGGUGAUCUGUGUAUUACCUGAGAGUUCAGGAGGAUUCCCAGAAUUCAGAGGGGCCUGCAAAGGCCCAUGGAACCUCAAGGUACCCUUGACUGUGACACCGAGUGUAGUGGUUGGGUUGUCACACCGACCUGCUGCUUCUCUCGGGCCCUCUUAUUCGGCUCUUGUGUUGCUGUCUGUGUUUGCCGUCUCCACGAGUGCAGAAAGACUGCCUGAUGUGGAAGAGACUGGCUGUGCUGUGGAAACUGUCUCACGUGCUUCUGGGCCUGACAUCUGGAGGAAGAUGUCUAGCUGUGACUUCUCACCUGUGCGCGAAGAACAGAUAUACUCACGAGGACUCUUGUGAAACAAGAUCUUGUGAAACAAGCCAGUCUGGACCUUAGCGAUCCUGCUCUGUGCCUAGGGACUGGAGCUGUGUCCCUGAGAGGAGAGAAGAGCGCUGACGUGUUGAUCGUGACGCUUGACUGUCAGCAAGUACCAAUCACUCUUGAAAGAGCCAUCUGCCGAUGGGGAAGAGCCAGACGUGGCCUGGGAAGAGCUGAAUGUGUGGGGGAAGCCGUUCGGGCUUGGUAAGUGAAACUUAGGGUAGUCGGACCCCAGAAACCCGAGGAAAGGAGAUCGGUAGGUCAGUAAGACAGCCUAGGGCAGCCCUGGCGGUUACGGUUAUUUCCCACGACUGUGGCUGCAACCUGGAGUGAUAUGAUCAAAAGUACACAGCAGCCCAGACAUCCUCACUAGAGCUCCAGGAAGACCACGGGGAUGGGUGGUCACAUUUCAGGAGGCACUGUGUAGUCUGUCUGCCCUCUUUAGGGCAACCAGUGUCUUCAGAUGGCGACAGACAAGCCGGCCUUGGUAGGCUGUUCAUUGCUAGGGUGAUAGAGUUCCCUGGGCUCAGUCUUACUUCAGAUGGUUGUGUGGAUAGCUGGGCCGGUUUGCCCUCUGUUUUUGAUUUUUCAUUUAAAAUGCUAUUAGUAAUUAGCGUAGGCAUAGAAGGAUUCUGUGCUGUUUCCAGCUUCCAUCAUUCUCCGGCCUCAGUGUGUGCCGUUCGAUGCAUGGCAGAGUCCUUUAACCGGGAAGCAACCAGACAGAACCCACCUACAGAUGCAAUCAUGUUGGAAGUAAAUGAGAGGUUUUCUUUCAGGGGCCGCAUGCCGGGGUCUGGGGCACGGCUCAGUUGGUAAAAUGCUUUCUCUCCAGGCAUGGAGACCUGACUUAGGAGCCCCAGCCCUCCUUUAUGAAGCAGAGCACGGUGGCACACACCUGUCUGUAAUCCCAGUGCUAGGGAGGCGGGAGAGGAACAUGCCCGGGGUUGCCGGCCAGGCAGCACAGCUGAAUCAGUGAGAGCUCUAGGUUUGCUGGAGGGUCUGUCUUCACAAUAAAGAUAGACCGUGAUUGAUGAAGACAUCUGACAGUGGGAUCUAGCCUCCACAUAGACAUGCACACACACACACACACACACACACACACACACACACACACACACACACACACUUGCAUACCCACACACCACACAUACACACACCACACACACACACACACACACCACACACACACACACACACCACACACACCCCCCACACCACACCACACACACACCUACACACACACACACACACCACACCACACACACACCACACACACCCACACACCACACCACACACACACACCACACACACACACACACACACACACACACACACACACACACACACACACACACCACACACACACACACACACACAAACAAAACAAAAACCUUGUCCCUAAGUGUUUGUCAAUAUUUAUUGCCCAUCAUGGGACCCAUCGUGCUAAUAGGAAUCAAUAAAGACAAGAGACAGGGAAUUCAUGAAGAAGCAUCAGUAUUGGCUUCAGAAAUGAGCAUUUUGAGAAGAUCCUGUCUGAAGAUGACGUUUUUACCUCUAGUCACAAGACGAGCCUCCACUCCAUCACUUGACUGGUAACAACUUUUCAUCAGAUCAAAUUUCCUCCAGAUUCAACUUUUCUCCUUGUCGAUCCCAAAUGUCUUGGUCAUUUGUAGAGUGGAGCGAUGGGUACACUUCUGCCUCAUUCCCAGGGUGGUCUGGGCUGAUAAUGUUCAUGCCAUUAGUAAAAGACUCUAACAAAGAGAAAAACAAAGACGUUUUCAUGUCACCGUCAUCAGAGCUUCAAGAAGUUGGCUCAUUCCAAAACAUCAGACUCACCAUCCAUUCCAUGACACCAAAGGAAAGCUUCCUGAAGUUCCCUGUCGUGAAGGGACCAUUAUUUAACAUCAGAGGUGAAAUCAUUUAUUUUUACUGUGAUAAUGACGAUAGCAAUUUUAGUGGGUCUAAGUAUUGUGGCAAGAGAAAUGUUUGUUAUUUUACUUUAUUUCUUUACGAUUUUAUUUUUAAUUUACAUGUGUGGUGCUUUGCCUGCCUGUGUGUAAGUGCACCAUGUGUGUGCAUUGCUGGCAGAGACCAGACGAGGUCGUCAGAUCCCCUGGAACUGGCGUUACAGGUGGUUGUGAGCCACCAUGUGGGUGCUGGGAACUGAACCCCGGUCCUCUGGAAGAGCAGCCAGUGCUCCUAACUGCUGAGCCAUCUCUCCAGCCCUACAAUGACUCUUACUAAUGGAAAACAUACGGAGCAUGAACAGAAUGGGUUGUCAGACACACAUACUAUAUUGCUUCAUCCAAUUAAGUUGUAAUGCUUUGCUAAUUGAAAUAGAAGCUGUGGAUGUUACAAUGUUAAUGCUUAUACAUGAUCACAAUUAUAGUAAUUGAGCUAUAAAACUUUUGUGACUAUUACAUUUUUUUUUCCGCAUUAAUCAAAAAUGGAUGCACUGCAUCUCUGCUUCGAACUAUGAGCUAGUGUUUGGUUACAUCUGUGCCUUUGAGGGAUGGCUUUGUGUUACAGUGACAUUGAACUUUCUGGAUUUUGUUCACAAUUACUUGGCAUUUUUGAUUCCUUUAUUUGAAGGAUGACACAUGAAAAACUUUAUUCUCAUGAAACUUUUGGUGAAUUGUAAUUACUGAGAAAACAGUUUACAAAUAGAUCUUAAAUGCCCCUUUAAAGAAAACACAGAACAAACUAGACAAUGAUAUCUCAAACUGUUUUUAUAAUUUAAUUUUGGAUUACUCUGUUUUCACCUUGGAAUGUAUUGAAUUGCACAGAAAUUUUUGAUGGUACUCUCACUUUAAUUAAAAAUUUAUGUUCUGUAUCAAAAGACA